GUCCUUUUGAAUUUGAUAUAAGGUUUGACCUGCCCACUGAAAUUUUGAAUGGCCGCAGUAAUUUGACUGUGCAAAGGUAGCAUAAUCAUUAGUUUUUUAAUUUAAAGCUUGUAUGAAGGGUUGGACGAGGUAAAAACUGUCUCUAUUUAAUUUAUAAUAGAAUUUAAUUUUUAAGUUAAAAAGCUUAAAUAUUUUUAAAAGACGAGAAGACCCUAUAGAUCUUUAUAAUAUCUUUUUUAAUUUUAUUAAAGAAUUUUUUAUUAAUUAAUAAAAAUAUUAUUUUAUUGGGGUAAUAAAAAGAUUGAAAAAAUUCUUUUUUUUAUUAAACAUUAAUAAAUGAUUUUAUGAUCCAGUAAUAUUGAUUAAAAGAUUAAGUUACCUUAGGGAUAACAGCGUAAUUUUUUUAAAGAGUUCAUAUCGAUAAAAAAGUUUGCGACCUCGAUGUUGGAUUAAAAAUUAUCUUAGGUGCAGAAGUUUAGGAUUUUGGUCUGUUCGACCAUUAAAUUUUUACA
This 512-nucleotide ribosomal RNA is filed under the name Lancetes nigriceps. RNAcentral describes it as "partial 16S ribosomal RNA". It matches the Rfam family "Bacterial large subunit ribosomal RNA", at positions 1825 to 2600 of the family's 2925-position model. The record is from RNAcentral. Lineage: Eukaryota; Metazoa; Arthropoda; Insecta; Coleoptera; Dytiscidae.